This 98-nucleotide non-coding RNA is filed under the name Staphylococcus carnosus. RNAcentral's name for it is "SAM-I sequence". It matches the Rfam family "SAM riboswitch aptamer (S box leader)". From Rfam's summary of the family: The SAM riboswitch is found upstream of a number of genes which code for proteins involved in methionine or cysteine biosynthesis in Gram-positive bacteria. The SAM riboswitch acts at the level of transcription termination control. The predicted structure consists of a complex stem-loop region followed by a single stem loop terminator region. Lineage: Bacteria; Bacillati; Bacillota; Bacilli; Caryophanales; Staphylococcaceae. The record is from RNAcentral.
AACUUAUCCAGAAUGGUGGAGGGACUGGCCCGACGAUACCAGGCAACCUAUUUAAGUUAGGUGCUAAUUCCAGCAGGUGAAGACCUGAAAGAUAAGAG